ACUCCUACGGGAGGCAGCAGUGGGGAAUAUUGCACAAUGGGGGAAACCCUGAUGCAGCCAUGCCGCGUGUGUGAAGAAGGCCUUCGGGUUGUAAAGCACUUUCAGUAGGGAGGAAGGUAGUGUAGUUAACACCUGCAUUAUUUGUACGUUACCUACAGAAGAAGCACCGGCUAACUCCGUGCCAGCAGCCGCGGUAAGUACGGAGGGUGCGAGCGUUAAUCGGAAUUACUGGGCGUAAAGCGCAUGCAGGCGGCCUGUUAAGUCAGAUGUGAAAGCCCGGGGUCUUAACCUCGGAAUUGCAUUUGAAACUGGCAGGCUAGAGUCUUGUAGAGGGGUUAGAAGUUUCAGGUGUAGCGGUGAAAUGCGUAGAGAUCUGAAGGAAUA
Molecule: ribosomal RNA, 384 nt
Filed under: uncultured bacterium
Lineage: Bacteria
Description: bacterial SSU rRNA
Rfam family: Bacterial small subunit ribosomal RNA
Source: RNAcentral